GAAAGCCCUAUGAUGGGAAACUACCACGUUAGGUUUGGAGAGAGAUAGGACCGGUUAUAUAAUAGGGGGAGCAGAUGCAAGCUUUUUCUUUCAAUAGCCGGCC
RNAcentral lists this small RNA (103 nucleotides) under Helianthus annuus (common sunflower). RNAcentral's name for it is "sRNA HanXRQr2_Chr14g0628381". The record is from RNAcentral. Lineage: Eukaryota; Viridiplantae; Streptophyta; Magnoliopsida; Asterales; Asteraceae.